Molecule: ribosomal RNA, 167 nt
Filed under: Corema album
Lineage: Eukaryota; Viridiplantae; Streptophyta; Magnoliopsida; Ericales; Ericaceae
Description: 5.8S ribosomal RNA
Rfam family: 5.8S ribosomal RNA
About the family: 5.8S ribosomal RNA (5.8S rRNA) is a component of the large subunit of the eukaryotic ribosome. It is transcribed by RNA polymerase I as part of the 45S precursor that also contains 18S and 28S rRNA.
Source: RNAcentral
CUAAACGACUCUCGGCAACGGAUAUCUCGGCUCUUGCAUCGAUGAAGAACGUAGCGAAAUGCGAUACUUGGUGUGAAUUGCAGAAUCCCGUGAACCAUCGAGUCUUUGAACGCAAGUUGCGCCCGAAGCCAUUAGGUUGAAGGCACGUCUGCCUGGGCGUCACGCAU